UUUAUUAAUUUUGAAUAGUUUAGAAUAUAAAAAUAUACAAAAAAUUACUAAAAUCCUUUAUAAAAGGUGUAUUUUAUUAAAAUCCCUUAAAGGGGACCAUCCCAGGUCGACUCAGCCUGAAUAAAAUGAGUACCUUGGGCAAAACCAGGGGUAAUAAUAGGCGGUUGAAGCGUAGCUCUGGCCCUGUUACCUUCCUUGUAUACCGUAGGCCCUAGAUAUAGCAGACUACCCUGCUAUAAUCCCAAACCCGCAUUAGCGGUAUAAAACAGGUGACUAUUAUAUUUAAAAUAUUCCUGGAUUUAACAUCAGGCACCACAGGUCUUCUCCACGGGGUUGCUUUGUCCAGAGGAAGGAUCCUCAUAUCACGGACAUUAGCAACUGAAGUUGGGGUGGAAGAGUCCUGUGGUGCCUGGGGUUAAAUCCAGGAAUGUUUUAAAUAUCACUCUAAUUUUAAUACAAUAAUGUAAACAUUUUUAGAUAAGGUUGUUGCAACGAGUGAAGAGUUUGGUGUGUUACUAAACAUAAAGAAAACAAAAUUCAUGGUUGUAUCAAAUAAAAGUAUUAGAAACAUUAAUCUCUACGUAAAUAAUAAGACGAUAAACGAGUUCAGAAUUAUAACUAUUUAGGAACAAACAUUAAUGAAACAAACGAUUAUACCAAAGAAAUCAGAAGUAUUUCCCAUUAUAAAUAGUUAAAAUCAGAAGUAGAAUAGAAAAGGCUAGAAGUACAUUCAAUCAUAUGAAAAGACCUCAGCCUAAAUCUUAGAAAACGAGUACUAAAGCGUUAUGUAUUUUCUGUUCUUUUGUAUGGUGUGGAGACAUGGACACUUAAUAAACAAUGUCUCAAUAGAUUGGAAGCAUUUGAAAUGUGAACCUGUCGAAGAAUGCUGAAAAUCUCCUGGACAGACAGAAUAACCAAUGAAGGAGUACUAAGAUGAAUAGAGAACAGCAGGGAGAUACUGGAUUCCAUCAAAAUAAGAAAACUGCAAUACUUGGGUCAUAUAGGUAACACGUGGUGACAGAUAUGAACUCUUAAAAUUAAUUAUGCAGGGAAAGAUUCAAGGAAGGCGCAGCAUAAUUAUUGUUAGUUCAAAACCUCGUGAACCUCGUAAAUACGCAUUCCCGAAAAAAUAAAUGGAACCUAAAAACAUCCACCAUUUUAAUUGCAUAGGAAAUUAGGCGACAGGGUAGGAUUUGCACAUGCUAAAUGAUGUCGAGUAUUUCCAAUAAACAUGACAUAUUACAUAUUAAACUCGGACAAACAUAAGUUUGGGAAUAUGAUUCAAAACUCGAUGAUGCGCAGUGGUUCUUGUUUACUAGCGUUACCAUGGAAACGGCCAGUUUGCUGAUCGCCAGUGUCGUAGUUAGAAGUGCAUUACGUAUCGCAGAGAGUGUUUAACUUAUUGGUUUGAUCGUGUUGGAUAUUUUAUUAAUAGUUUUUAGCUUAGUGUUUGGUAUAUUAGUAGUAGUAAUUAGUGUAUUAUUAAGACAUUUAGUGUAUCUCUAGUGCGUUAAGUUAAGUCAUUAGUUAUUUAACAAUAUGCCUCAUAAAAAGAUAGGAAUCAAAGGGCUGGGAUUGAAUAGCCAAGCAAAGGCAAUCAUUUAUAAUGUUACUACAUUUAUGGAACAAGAGGCAGCACAUUUCAAAACAACCGAAAACCUGUUAAUACCUUAAAGUAAAUUGACGUAAGUAUUGUAUUUUUGACAUUUUAUUUUCUUGAUAUUACGUAUUUAUGAAGUUUCAUCAGAUUCUUCUUCUUCUUUAGCCCAUUUCUAUCCACCUUUGGACAUAGGCCUUCCCCAAAUCUUUCCAUAUCUGUCUGUCCUUGGCUGCGCUUUUCCAGUGAGUUCCUGCAGCUUUUACAAUAUCGUGCUUCCAUCGCAUCUGAGAUCUUGCUCUUCCUCUUCUUCCUGUCCACGGUCUCCUGUUUUGUAUUUCAGCAUUCCAUCUUUUAUCUUCCUGUCUCACGUUGUGGCCUGCAAAUCUCCACUUUAACCCUGAAUAUGCUCAGUUACAUUUUUUACGUUUGUUUUCUCUCUUAUCCAAUUGUUUGGUUUUCUGUCUUGCAGUGUUAUUCCCAACAUGGAAUAAAACAUGAAUUAAUACAAUAUAUAUUUUCUGUGAGUUAUUUCUAUUUUGUUUAUGUUGGCCUUUGUUAAUGUCCAUGUUUAUGAGCCAUACGUCCUAACAGGAAGGAUGCUCUGAUCAAAUACACGAGUUUUUAGGCACUGUUUCUUUUUUCACGCCAAUCUUUUGCAAUUUUUUUCGCAAUAUUUUCAUUUAGUAACAUUUAACAUUGGUAAUUGUAGGGAUAGGAUUCUAGCAGCGACGGGUAUAAGCAAAAACACCUUAUCCAAAAUAAGAAAAGAAGGUAGAGACGUAAAUAAAAAUGUAGCAACUAGUUUAUCUUUUAAAAGUCCAAAAAGAAAACGUUGUCGUUCCAAAAAAAUUGAAUUGAGCAGUGGACAAGUUAAAACCGUCAAAAAUAUUAUAUACGACUUCUACAUCAUCGAAAAAAGAUCCCCUACAAUUAAUGGUCAUCAUAAGGUUAUCAAAAACCAAAGAACAAACAAAUGGAAUUUCCAGGGUCAAAGGAAACAUUAAGAAAAACGAUAAUUGGAUUAGGCUUUAGGUAAAAUAGUAAAAGUAAUUAUUCAGCUUAACAAAUAAAAUUGUAUAAUGGAUAAUGUAUUUUAGAAUCGUAAUUAAAACUUUGUUUAAUAUUAUUGUUUAGAAAAUAAAUAGAUUAGAAUUAGUAAAAAUAAA
This is a long non-coding RNA of Diabrotica virgifera virgifera (western corn rootworm), 2766 nucleotides long. RefSeq lists it as uncharacterized. Lineage: Eukaryota; Metazoa; Arthropoda; Insecta; Coleoptera; Chrysomelidae. The record is from RefSeq and is a predicted model, not a curated record. The transcript has 2 exons.